This 373-nucleotide transfer-messenger RNA is filed under the name Clostridia bacterium. It matches the Rfam family "transfer-messenger RNA". From Rfam's summary of the family: Bacterial tmRNA, also known as 10Sa RNA or SsrA, is named for its dual tRNA and mRNA-like properties. The record is from RNAcentral. RNAcentral also lists the same sequence under 1 other name. Lineage: Bacteria; Bacillati; Bacillota; Clostridia.
GGGGCUGUUUAUAGAUUCGCCCGUUAAUUUAGAUGGUGAGAAAAGCAUAUCGUAGAGCAAGCUACGUAAAAAGUGCAAAACAAUUAAAUGCAAACAACAGCAUUUUCAGCAGAAGCAAUUCUGCAGUUUACGCCGCAGCAUAAGUUCUGGGCUCGUCACCUGUGUUUGUUGCAUGGCACAGCAAUGGCGUCAUAUAAUGCAAAUCGCUUGACGGCGAGUGAUUUUGCGUCGGCAAGUUAAAUAAAUAAAAAAUCUUUGCCUUGGGCGUUUUGUUUUUUGAGCAAACAAGGCGAGACCUUUUCAAAAAACUAAGUAUGUAGAAACCUCAUGGUCAAUUGAUGGUACACGGGUGCAAGUCCCGUCAGCUCCACCA